This 497-nucleotide ribosomal RNA is filed under the name uncultured bacterium. Its description in RNAcentral is "partial 16S ribosomal RNA". It matches the Rfam family "Bacterial small subunit ribosomal RNA", at positions 28 to 507 of the family's 1533-position model. The record is from RNAcentral.
GAUGAACGCUGGCGGCGUGCCUAAUACAUGCAAGUCGAGCGAACGGACGAGAAGCUUGCUUCUCUGACGUUAGCGGCGGACGGGUGAGUAACACGUGGAUAACCUACCUAUAAGACUGGGAUAACUUCGGGAAACCGGAGCUAAUACCGGAUAAUAUAUUGAACCGCAUGGUUCAAAAGUGAAAGACGGUCUUGCUGUCACUUAUAGAUGGAUCCGCGCUGCAUUAGCUAGUUGGUAAGGUAACGGCUUACCAAGGCAACGAUGCGUAGCCGACCUGAGAGGGUGAUCGGCCACACUGGAACUGAGACACGGUCCAGACUCCUACGGGAGGCAGCAGUAGGGAAUCUUCCGCAAUGGGCGAAAGCCUGACGGAGCAACGCCGCGUGAGUGAUGAAGGUCUUCGGAUCGUAAAACUCUGUUAUUAGGGAAGAACAUAUGUGUAAGUAACUGUGCACGUCUUGACGGUACCUAAUCAGAAAGCCACGGCUAACUACGUG